Long non-coding RNA from Suricata suricatta (meerkat), 349 nucleotides. RefSeq lists it as uncharacterized. The transcript is spliced from 3 exons. NCBI's taxonomy places the organism in Eukaryota, Metazoa, Chordata, Mammalia, Carnivora, Herpestidae. The record is from RefSeq and is a predicted model, not a curated record.
AGACAAAAACAGUAUGGCUCCACUAUCAUCCCUGAACAGAGGCAAAACCGAAGACUCAGCACCACCACAGGUGUGACCCACCAUCCCCUCUGGAGGCCAACGGGUGGACCAAAUGCAGUGGCAGGUGGAUGUGAACUGCAACUGACUGAACCAGGUGCACAAGAAACACCCAUCUCUUUAUUCAGUGAGCAUCUGCACCCCAUGCAGCAAACAACCACGGAAGCAGGAACAUGCAAAGGGUCCCGCUAGCUGGCUGGAACAGAACACAGAGAGAACAACCCAGGAGCAGCCGUGUGACUGUGGACUCGUGGCUCACCUUAUCCGUGACCAGUUGACUCCUCUGAAGUGA